This is a ribosomal RNA of 598 nucleotides. It matches the Rfam family "Bacterial large subunit ribosomal RNA", at positions 329 to 930 of the family's 2925-position model.
UUAGACGAAUCAUCUGGAAAGUUGAAUCAAAGAAGGUAAUAAUCCUGUAGUUGAAAAUAUAUUCUCUCUUGAGUGGAUCCUGAGUACGACGGAGCACGUGAAAUUCCGUCGGAAUCUGGGAGGACCAUCUCCUAAGGCUAAAUACUCUCUAGUGACCGAUAGUGAACCAGUACCGUGAGGGAAAGGUGAAAAGUACCCCGGAAGGGGAGUGAAAGAGAACUUGAAACCGUGUGCUUACAAGUAGUCAGAGCCCGUUAAUGGGUGAUGGCGUGCCUUUUGUAGAAUGAACCGGCGAGUUACGAUCUGAUGCAAGGUUAAGCAGGAAAUGUGGAGCCGUAGCGAAAGCGAGUCUGAAUAGGGCGUUGAGUAUUUGGUCGUAGACCCGAAACCAGGUGAUCUACCCAUGGUCAGGUUGAAGUUCAGGUAACACUGAAUGGAGGACCGAACCGACUUACGUUGAAAAGUGAGCGGAUGAACUGUGGGUAGCGGAGAAAUUCCAAUCGAACUUGGAGAUAGCUGGUUCUCUCCGAAAUAGCUUUAGGGCUAGCCUCAAGUGAUGAUUAUUGGAGGUAGAGCACUGUUUGGACGAGGGGCCCCU